Molecule: ribosomal RNA, 408 nt
Filed under: uncultured bacterium
Lineage: Bacteria
Description: partial 16S ribosomal RNA
Rfam family: Bacterial small subunit ribosomal RNA
Source: RNAcentral
GACGAACGCUGGCGGCGUGCUUAACACAUGCAAGUCGAACGAAGUGGCGAACGGGUGAGUAACGCGUAAUCAACCUGCCCUUCAGAGGGGGACAACAGUUGGAAACGACUGCUAAUACCGCAUACUGAAGGAGGGGAUUGCGUCUGAUUAGCUCGUUGGAGGGGUAACGGCCCACCAAGGCGAUGAUCAGUAGGCGGGUUGGGAGGAUGAAACGCCAAAAUGGGACUGGAAAAAGGCCCAGACUCCUAAGGGAGGCAGCAGGGGGGAAACUUCCGCAAUGGACGAAAGUCUGACGGAGCAACGCCGCGUGAGUGAUGACGGCCUUCGGGUUGUAAAGCUCUGUUAAUCGGGACGCGGUACCGGAAUAGAAAGCCACGGCUAACUACGUGCCAGCAGCCGCGGUAAUAC